This 254-nucleotide ribosomal RNA is filed under the name uncultured bacterium. RNAcentral's name for it is "partial 16S ribosomal RNA". It matches the Rfam family "Bacterial small subunit ribosomal RNA", at positions 524 to 776 of the family's 1533-position model. The record is from RNAcentral.
CACGUAGGGGGCAAGCGUUGUCCGGAUUUAUUGGGCGUAAAGAGCUCGUAGGCUGUUCGAUAAGUCGGGUGUGAAACCUCCAGGCUCAACCUGGAGACGCCACCCGAUACUGUCAUGACUAGAGUCCGGUAGGGGAGCGUGGAAUUCCUGGUGUAGCGGUGAAAUGCGCAGAUAUCUGGAGGAAUACCGGUGGCGAAGGCGGCAUCCUGGACCGACAUUGACGCUGAACGGCGAAAGCUAGGGGAGCAAACGGG